Molecule: ribosomal RNA, 241 nt
Filed under: uncultured bacterium
Lineage: Bacteria
Description: partial 16S ribosomal RNA
Rfam family: Bacterial small subunit ribosomal RNA
Source: RNAcentral
UCGGGGUGAGUAGAGUGGCGCACGGGUGAGUAACGCGUGGGAACGUACCGUUUAGUACGGAAUAACCUUGGGAAACUGGGGAUAAUACCGUAUACGCCCUUCGGGGGAAAGAUUUAUCGCUAAACGAUCGGCCCGCGUGACAUUAGAUUGUUGGUGGGGUAAUGGCCUACCAAGUCGACGAUGUCUAGCUGGUCUGAGAGGAUGAUCAGCCACACUGGAACUGAGACACGGUCCAGACUCC